Molecule: non-coding RNA, 411 nt
Organism: Leptonychotes weddellii (Weddell seal)
Lineage: Eukaryota; Metazoa; Chordata; Mammalia; Carnivora; Phocidae
Source: RefSeq, a predicted model, not a curated record
GUCUCCGGGAGCGGGGGCUUAGCGCGGGGACGCGGGGACGAGGGCGCUGCUCGCGGCGGCGCUGGCUCCCGGCUCUUUCCAGGCAGAGGCGAACGGCGGGCUUCGUAGAAAACCCGAAAAUGGUGAGGAAAGCUGAAAUAAGCCAGCAUGCCAAGUACACCUGUUCCUCCUGUGGCAAAACCAAGACAAAGAGACGAGCUGCGGGGAUCUGGCGUCGGGGUUCGUGCCUGAAAACCUAAGACAGGUGGUGCCUGGACCCACAGAACCAUUCCUGCCAUCACAGUAAAGUCCGCCAUCUGAAGACUGAGGAGUUGAAAGACCAGUAGAAGCUCCACCAUUUGAAACAUCGCUAGCCUGUAAUAAAUGUGUUAACUUAUGUAACAAAAUAAAAAACCCAGAUUUAUUAUCUUA